Long non-coding RNA from Oncorhynchus masou masou (cherry salmon), 490 nucleotides. RefSeq lists it as uncharacterized. NCBI's taxonomy places the organism in Eukaryota, Metazoa, Chordata, Actinopteri, Salmoniformes, Salmonidae. The transcript is spliced from 3 exons. The record is from RefSeq and is a predicted model, not a curated record.
CUGUGGUUUCUCCAAGCGCGGCUGAACAGAACUGCGAUACCACACGCGUCCGAGCAACCUGCGCUAUCGGGGGAUUUAAACACUACUCAGCGCUAGAACCCAAACCGCUUCUUUGGAUCUGCCGCAGGACGCUCGCAUACGGGAUUAUUGUUUAUUUGUUUAUUUGAACAAGAAGAUGUGAGUUUUUUUGUGUGAAUGCACGAUAAGAAAGAGAGGAACUCCAUCGCUGAUCAAGGUACACUUAAGGAAGAAGGAGAAGACGAAGCCGCUAAACAACUGAAGAUAUGAAGCUAAAGGGCUUUUGAAGACAAGCGAGUGAGACAUCCUGUUUGAAGACCACAGCCUUCUCUUCGUGGGGCCUCGGCACUCCAGCCAGGUCAAAGGUCGCCCCGGAGCAAGAUGGCCGCCGGCGGUCCACCCUGCCUCCGUCUGCCGCCCCUGCUGCCCCUCAGAACUCUGUUGCUCUGUAUGCUGCUUACUGGCUUCCAUG